AGGCACGGGCUGCUUCUAGAUGAGCUAGACCUUCUAGAUGCACAUCAUUAUAGAAUCAAAACUUAAAUUUGCUUUUACCAUCGAGAGUUUGUUUUAUUAACCCAGUAAAACUAAUAAAUAAAUACUGAGAAAGGCACAUUUGAGCAAUCAAUUAUUUAUUUAUAUCAGCAUAUAGUUAGAGAAUAAGAGAAUGUUUUAUGAUGGGCAGAUACUACUACAGAUCUUAAGUCCUAAUAAGAUACCCCCAGCAUAUUAGUGCUAGAUUUAUAGCAACAAUUACAUUGGAUUCUUAAAUUUUAAUUUAUUAACAAUGGAAAAAGGGGGAAAGAAAGCACAAACAACAAAGCUGAUCACACUCAGCUGGUUAAUAAUUGAAACCUUGUUGUUUAAAAGAGGAACACGAACAGCUCCGAUCCGCUUAAGAGUCUUGGGCAUGCAUGAUACUUUCCAUUCACAUUCCACACACUUUCAAAAAUGUCUUCUAGUCAUAUGAUCCUCUUUUUCUGUCAUCCAUUAAAGCUCAAAAGCUAAAAAGGAAUCAGAAAAGAAGACGUUUUGCAAGGCUUUUUCUUUCUUUCUUUCUUUCUUUCUUUCUUUCUUUUCCACUUUGAUCGUGGCAAAU
Molecule: long non-coding RNA, 622 nt
Filed under: Citrus sinensis (sweet orange)
Lineage: Eukaryota; Viridiplantae; Streptophyta; Magnoliopsida; Sapindales; Rutaceae
Description: long non-coding RNA (CSIN_LNC001414)
Source: RNAcentral